UGUUGGCUUAGAAGCAGCCAUCAUUUAAAGAAAGCGUAAUAGCUCACUGGUCGAGUCGGCCUGCGCGGAAGAUGUAACGGGGCUAAACCAUGCACCGAAGCUGCGGCAGCGACACUGUGUGUUGUUGGGUAGGGGAGCGUUCUGUAAGCCUGUGAAGGUGGCCUGUGAGGGUUGCUGGAGGUAUCAGAAGUGCGAAUGCUGACAUAAGUAACGAUAAAGCGGGUGAAAAGCCCGCUCGCCGGAAGACCAAGGGUUCCUGUCCAACGUUAAUCGGGGCAGGGUGAGUCGACCCCUAAGGCGAGGCCGAAAGGCGUAGUCGAUGGGAAACGGGUUAAUAUUCCCGUACUUGGUGUUACUGCGAAGGGGGGACGGAGAAGGCUAUGUUGGCCGGGCGACGGUUGUCCCGGUUUAAGCGUGUAGGUGUGUGUUCCAGGUAAAUCCGGUUCACUUUAACACUGAGGCGUGACGACGAGGCACUACGGUGCUGAAGCAACAAAUGCCCUGCUUCCAGGAAAAGCCUCUAAGCAUCAGGUAACAUCAAAUCGUACCCCAAACCGACACAGGUGGUCAGGUAGAGAAUACCAAGGCGCUUGAGAGAACUCGGGUGAAGGAACUAGGCAAAAUGGUGCCGUAACUUCGGGAGAAGGCACGCUGACACGUAGGUGAAGUGAUUUACUCAUGGAGCUGAAGUCAGUCGAAGAUACCAGCUGGCUGCAACUGUUUAUUAAAAACACAGCACUGUGCAAACACGAAAGUGGACGUAUACGGUGUGACGCCUGCCCGGUGCCGGAAGGUUAAUUGAUGGGGUCAGCGCAAGCGAAGCUCCUGAUCGAAGCCCCGGUAAACGGCGGCCGUAACUAUAACGGUCCUAAGGUAGCGAAAUUCCUUGUCGGGUAAGUUCCGACCUGCACGAAUGGCGUAAUGAUGGCCAGGCUGUCUCCACCCGAGACUCAGUGAAAUUGAACUCGCUGUGAAGAUGCAGUGUACCCGCGGCAAGACGGAAAGACCCCGUGAACCUUUACUAUAGCUUGACACUGAACAUUGAGCCUUGAUGUGUAGGAUAGGUGGGAGGCUUUGAAGUGUGGACGCCAGUCUGCAUGGAGCCGACCUUGAAAUACCACCCUUUAAUGUUUGAUGUUCUAACGUGGACCCGUUACCCGGGUUGCGGACAGUGUCUGGUGGGUAGUUUGACUGGGGCGGUCUCCUCCUAAAGAGUAACGGAGGAGCACGAAGGUUGGCUAAUCCUGGUCGGACAUCAGGAGGUUAGUGCAAUGGCAUAAGCCAGCUUGACUGCGAGCGUGACGGCGCGAGCAGGUGCGAAAGCAGGUCAUAGUGAUCCGGUGGUUCUGAAUGGAAGGGCCAUCGCUCAACGGAUAAAAGGUACUCCGGGGAUAACAGGCUGAUACCGCCCAAGAGUUCAUAUCGACGGCGGUGUUUGGCACCUCGAUGUCGGCUCAUCACAUCCUGGGGCUGAAGUAGGUCCCAAGGGUAUGGCUGUUCGCCAUUUAAAGUGGUACGCGAGCUGGGUUUAGAACGUCGUGAGACAGUUCGGUCCCUAUCUGCCGUGGGCGCUGGAGAACUGAGGGGGGCUGCUCCUAGUACGAGAGGACCGGAGUGGACGCAUCACUGGUGUUCGGGUUGUCAUGCCAAUGGCACUGCCCGGUAGCUAAAUGCGGAAGAGAUAAGUGCUGAAAGCAUCUAAGCACGAAACUUGCCCCGAGAUGAGUUCUCCCUGAGACUUAGAGUCUCCUGAAGGAACGUUGAAGACGACGACGUUGAUAGGCCGGGUGUGUAAGCGCAGCGAUGCGUUGAGCUAACCGGUACUAAUGAACCGUGAGGCUUAACCUUACAA
RNAcentral lists this ribosomal RNA (1852 nucleotides) under Salmonella enterica subsp. enterica. Its description in RNAcentral is "partial 23S ribosomal RNA". It matches the Rfam family "Bacterial large subunit ribosomal RNA", at positions 1099 to 2925 of the family's 2925-position model. The record is from RNAcentral. Lineage: Bacteria; Pseudomonadati; Pseudomonadota; Gammaproteobacteria; Enterobacterales; Enterobacteriaceae.